RNAcentral lists this long non-coding RNA (1410 nucleotides) under Danio rerio (zebrafish). RNAcentral's name for it is "lncRNA (ENSDARG00000117282.1)". Lineage: Eukaryota; Metazoa; Chordata; Actinopteri; Cypriniformes; Danionidae. The record is from RNAcentral.
AUGAGAAAAAACUGUGAUGUCAAUAACCCUCCGGUUCUCUCCUCCAAGAAGGGUCUGAAACGCGGCUCUGGUCCUGAUCUGCUUCGGGACGUGGAGCGUCUGCGUGCGAAGCUGGAGGUGGAGCGCAGCAGGACUCAGCAGGCCCACCGCCGCUUCUCCCUGGAGCUCCAGCGGCAGCGUGAGGAGGCGCGCGAGGAGCGAGAGCGAGCGCUGAGAGAAAUCACCUUCCGGCUGGAGCAGCAGAAAACACUGGAGCUCCUGCGGCAGAGAGACGCUCUGGGACGAGAGCGAGCUGCGGAGGUGCGUCGUCUGCUGCGCUGGCGGAGUCAAUCCACGCUCAGACCAACCAGAGACGUCCAUCGCCAACUGGCGGAUGAGCUGGCUGGAGUCUGCAGAUCCGCAGCUCUCAGACCCAGCUGUAAAGGGAACGGAGCUGCAUAUCGUAGACUGGAGGAGCUGCUGAAAACACUGCUGGAACAGGCGGAUGGACAGCAGGUCGCUUUGCUUCAUCGGCUUCAGCAGGAAGUGGAUCUAGAGAAGAGCUACUUCCUGUGCCAUCUGCUGGAAGCACACAGUCGGCCAGCACUGCAGAGGAAAGAGGAACGCAAAGACAAAGAGUUUGUUGUGGAACAAUCCAGGCGAAGGUCAAAGAGUUGUAUACAGGUGACGGGAGGAGUCAGAGAAGGAAAUCUUGCUUUAUUUCGUUCUAAUUCGCUAUCACAGACAUACAAAAGCGAAUCUCCUCAACCUAUGAAGAAGAAGAAGAAGCAGCAGGAUUCUGAAACUCCAGCAGAAGAAGAGGCGUCUGGAGGAGAUGUGGAGAGCUUACCUGAGCCUGCUUCGUCUGAUGAGGAAUCGCAGAAGUGCUCCACAUCCCCAUGUUCACAGGACAAUAUGGACGAGCAGAACGGCCGGGAUUAUGGCUAUCUGGUGCGGCAGAACUCGGAGCUGCUGCGAGCGCUGGAGGAGAUGGAGAAAUCCUGCGCCGCUCUGAGAGAAGAGAACCGCGUACUGAGAAAGAGCAGUUCUCCAGAGACGGAGGAGAAGGUGAAGAGGCUGAGGAAGAAAAACGCUGAACUCGCCAUCAUCGCCAAACGACUGGAGGACAGAGCGCGGAAACUCCAGGAGGCGAACCUCAAAGUGGCCAGCAGUCCGAUGGCGGUGCGAGCGGGGCAGUGGAGCAGUAUAAGCGGGCGUUUGCUCGUCAGAGAGCCAGAGAUCUGGCACAGCACGCAGACACACUCCUGAGAAAAGAUAAGCAGAUCUCAUCACUGUGCAGACAGCUGGAGACGCACACCGGGCAACACAAGGUAAACACACACUGACUUACAGAAGAAACAACAAACUCUCUACAUUUUAUAUAGCUGAAAAUGUCAGUUUCAUCAAUGCAUCGUGAUUCUUUCUCUGGUG